GGAAUUUUGCGCAAUGGGCGAAAGCCUGACGCAGCAACGCCGCGUGGAGGAUGAAGGUCUUCGGAUUGUAAACUCCUGUCAGUGGGGAAAAAGGGGAACGGGCUCAUACCCCGUUUCAUUGAUUGUACCCGCAGAGGAAGCCCCGGCUACCUCUGUGCCCGCAGCCGCGGUAAUACAGAGGGGGCAAGCGUUAUUCGGAAUUAUUGGGCGUAAAGGGCGCGUAGGUGGCCGUUCAAGUGGUAGGUGAAAUCCCUCGGCUCAACCGAGGAGCUGCCCGCCAAACUGAAUGGCUUGAGUCCGGGAGAGGUGAGUGGAAUUCCCAGUGUAGCGGUGAAAUGCGUAGAUAUUGGGAGGAACACCAGUGGCGAAGGCGGCUCACUGGACCGGAACUGACGCUGAGGCGCGAAAGCGUGGGGAGCAAA
RNAcentral lists this ribosomal RNA (422 nucleotides) under uncultured bacterium. Its description in RNAcentral is "bacterial SSU rRNA". It matches the Rfam family "Bacterial small subunit ribosomal RNA", at positions 358 to 772 of the family's 1533-position model. The record is from RNAcentral.